RNA transcript from Mus musculus (house mouse), 2908 nucleotides. It is a transcript of the gene named coiled-coil-helix-coiled-coil-helix domain containing 7, with no coding region annotated. The transcript is spliced from 9 exons. The record is from RefSeq and is marked validated. NCBI's taxonomy places the organism in Eukaryota, Metazoa, Chordata, Mammalia, Rodentia, Muridae.
AAGGUCCUGCUGCGUGAGCCACUGACGUGUUUGGAACUGCAGCCGGCCCGGGUGCUGGCUGAGUGGUGGCCUGUGGUGAGUGGUCUCCGGCCCCUCCCUCCCUGGACAGCAGGCCCGGGACAGCACUGCGCCGAGGGCAGACCCUAGUUCGUGGCGCCAAACCCUCCGCGGCGCGGCAUGCUCCUGCCGCUACUCACGCCACGCGAUUCGUCCGGCCGGGGCAGCGGAAGGUGACCCCAUGCAGGUUUAUGGUGUGCUGUAUUUCUGUUUCCGGAUUUAACACUCACAGACCAGACUCUGAGAAGCCUGGGGGGCCUGGACUUGUUCAGUAACGUGCCCUUCCCCCACUGCGGAUCAAAGCUGCGAAGAGUGGGAAAUCAGGAACUUUUUUGUAAGAAGACAAGAUGCCCAUGGUCACUCGGCGGCUGAGAGAUCCUGACAUAAACCCUUGCUUGUCGGAAUCUGAUGCUUCUACCAGAUGCAUGGAUGAAAAUAACUAUGACAGGGAAAGGUGUUCCAGUUACUUCUUGAAGUACAAAAACUGCCGGCGAUUCUGGAAUUCUGUCAUGAUCCAAAGAAGACAAAAUGGAGUUCAGCCAUCUAUGCCUACAGCAGCAGAAAGAGACGAAAUUUUGGGAGCAAUGCAAAAGAUGCCCUACUGAAAACUGACUUUGGAGGAGCUCCGGUACGACCACGAGACUGUCUGGGGCCUGAUGCGAGUCUCGGUGGAGGGUCCUGAUGCAGACAAACUGCAAGGCUCUGGGGCCUUUAGUUGUGCUUGAGGAUGAUGAGCUCUGGCUGGAAGAGAUACGUGCCCCAUGUAGUCCAGGAGUUCACCAGCCUGUGAGGUCAAGUGAUGACAGACACAUCUUGAUGAGCUUCACCUCAUCUGGAAAGGAGUUCUUUAGGCCUGCACAGAGAUGGAAGGCUGCAAGCAGAACCAACACAAGAUCAGAAAGGAUCUGGUCCAGCUGUUCAGUUUUCCAGAUCCUCGAUGGUAUUAAAAAAGACUAUUCUUUGUCUCAUUGAAUUAGCAUCUUAGUUGCAAAUCAUUGAUUAUACAUGAAAGAUCCCUGAACCUAGGGAUGAGGUAUUCAUGUCUACUUGGGGGCUGACCACUCAACUAUUAUUGACCAGUGGGACUAAGAACUAACCUCUCAGGAGAUUGACCUGCUCAAUUAGAAGAUCCAUAUCAAAGCCAACAGACCAGUGAAUCGUCGAACAAAUCAGGAAGGAAAAUGUAAAAUUUCUAGACAAAUGAUGAUCAAAACAAAACGUACCAGAAACUUUGUGCCACACCUAAACUAGUUAGGAGAGGAAAGUUCACAACUCUGAGUCUUACAUUAAAAAAAAAUAAUAAAGUCAUCUCAUGAAAGUCUUAGAAAAACACGAAUGAUCCAAACCAAAAGCAUUUGGCAAAAAGAAACAACAAAGGUCAGGGCAGAGAUUAAUGACAGACUGAAAGAACAAUAUAUAAACUCAAACAGUUGGUUUUUUGGAAAGACAACCAAGAUUGACAAGCCUCUACUAAAUUUGAGAGAAGACCUCAGUUAGUAAAACAAGAGAUGAUAUAUAUCAGAGUCCAAUAGAUUCUGGAGAACUACUAGGAAUCCUUUGACAACUUUUUUUAAUUAGCUGAAAAGUCUAGAAGAAAUGAAUAUAUUCAUAAACACAUAUGAACUAUCAAACUUAGAAAGAUAUAAACAGUUUAAAUAGACCCAUAGCAAGCACUUAGGGUAAAGCAGUGUUUUAAAAAGCAUCACAAAAAGUCCCAGGACUGACAAAUGUAUCAAGUUGUACCAAACUUCUCAGGAAGAAGCUGAUGCCAUCACCCCUCAUGCUGUUUCACAAACAUGGGGAAGGAGUUGUCACCACUGCUGAACUUGCCACUGUUACAUUUCUCCAAGAUCCUGCUUUGUGAGGAAUGGGGCUGGUUCAGUUGAUAAUUUAAAUGUCAUAAUGUUAGACUUCAGGAAAUUUUUAUAUGUUAUCAACUAUUCAAAAGCAAUAUGUAUGCAUAUGUAUGUGUAAGCGUGUGUGUGCGUGUGUGAUUUUAUCACAUCCCUAUUCAUUUGCUAUAGCAGCAGCAUAUUACAGGUUCUCAGUGGAGCAGGAAGGAUGAUGUUCUAUGUCUGUCUUAUAUAAGAAUUCUUUUGAGAAACUACCAUGUUUGCAAAAUCCUGGAAGCCAUAAAUGUUUAAUAUUUUUCUAGUAUAUGACAAAUGACCAAAUGUUUGUGUUUGGGGUUGGCUAUAGUUUUUAGAAUUGAGAAAUGUACAUAUUCAAACAAUGUCAAAGGACUGACAACUCAAUGCAAUAGAUCUUUCUAGAAAUAGCUAAUGUCAAGAUUUUUCAAGAUUUCUUAUUCGCAAUCAGCAUUAUCAGUAUAUUUUCUUUGCACUAAAGGAACAUCAUAGUAUAUAUGCUCCAUUGUAGUUUGCUUUUUGCUUUUAACAGGCAUAGUUUGGAAUAAUUUGAAACAGGUGGUAGCAAUCAUUUUGGGGCUUGUUAUAUUUUACUUGUAAGAUAAUUUCUAAGAUUUGAAUUUUUACAUUAAAGAUUUCUGUAUUCCAAAUUUUGUAGAUACUGAUAACUCAAUUACCUUCUGAAAAGAAGCACAACAAUUUAAUUUUAACAAUAAAGACUGUGUCUUUUCCUGGCAUCUUCAGUCCCAACUUUAAAACUCUUUCAUCUUUACCAAUCAUGUGAGUGAAACCAGAACAAAUAAAUACAUUUCUUUUGUCCCUUUCUUUUAAGAUCCUAGCUGAAAAUUCAUUAGAAGUCGCUGGCUGUCUUUAGGAAAUUAUCUCGUCAUAAUUCUUUUGUAUACCCUUUUGCUUUUUGAAUGUUAAAUAAUUUUCUGUACAGUGUUUUAUGUUGCUAUGUAAUUAAAUAGAUUAUUUUACUU